GCCUUCCUAGCCCCAUCUUCUAACCUGCUAGGGUUUUCUCACAUGGGUUCUUCUUUGAGGGCUCUCUGGCUUCCCUACUGAGCUGUAGCUGCCAAAGUUGAAGGGCAGCGUCUCCCCUGCGUCUCCCCAGCCUUUACAGCUCCUGAAACACACUAAGGUUCUGAGUUCUCUGUUGCUGUGGGACCCGAAAAAAGCCAGUCAGUAACUAUGAACUUCUAUUUCCUCACUUAAAAACCAUAGAAAACCAUCCGAGAAGAGGACGAGUGAAGUGCCUGGCAAGAGGGACAGAGUUGAGCACGUCGGGUCAUCAAACUGAGAUCCUGAGGACCGAACUGGAGGGAGCGCUUUGUGUGAGAUAUUGAAAGCAUCCUUAGGAAUUAUGGUUAGAACCCAGAACCCACAGUGAUGAUAAU
RNAcentral lists this long non-coding RNA (413 nucleotides) under Mus spicilegus (steppe mouse). RNAcentral's name for it is "lncRNA (ENSMSIG00000029495.1)". Lineage: Eukaryota; Metazoa; Chordata; Mammalia; Rodentia; Muridae. The record is from RNAcentral.